Molecule: ribosomal RNA, 854 nt
Filed under: Lactiplantibacillus plantarum
Lineage: Bacteria; Bacillati; Bacillota; Bacilli; Lactobacillales; Lactobacillaceae
Description: bacterial SSU rRNA
Rfam family: Bacterial small subunit ribosomal RNA
Source: RNAcentral
AGUGCAGAAGAGGACAGUGGAACUCCAUGUGUAGCGGUGAAAUGCGUAGAUAUAUGGAAGAACACCAGUGGCGAAGGCGGCUGUCUGGUCUGUAACUGACGCUGAGGCUCGAAAGUAUGGGUAGCAAACAGGAUUAGAUACCCUGGUAGUCCAUACCGUAAACGAUGAAUGCUAAGUGUUGGAGGGUUUCCGCCCUUCAGUGCUGCAGCUAACGCAUUAAGCAUUCCGCCUGGGGAGUACGGCCGCAAGGCUGAAACUCAAAGGAAUUGACGGGGGCCCGCACAAGCGGUGGAGCAUGUGGUUUAAUUCGAAGCUACGCGAAGAACCUUACCAGGUCUUGACAUACUAUGCAAAUCUAAGAGAUUAGACGUUCCCUUCGGGGACAUGGAUACAGGUGGUGCAUGGUUGUCGUCAGCUCGUGUCGUGAGAUGUUGGGUUAAGUCCCGCAACGAGCGCAACCCUUAUUAUCAGUUGCCAGCAUUAAGUUGGGCACUCUGGUGAGACUGCCGGUGACAAACCGGAGGAAGGUGGGGAUGACGUCAAAUCAUCAUGCCCCUUAUGACCUGGGCUACACACGUGCUACAAUGGAUGGUACAACGAGUUGCGAACUCGCGAGAGUAAGCUAAUCUCUUAAAGCCAUUCUCAGUUCGGAUUGUAGGCUGCAACUCGCCUACAUGAAGUCGGAAUCGCUAGUAAUCGCGGAUCAGCAUGCCGCGGUGAAUACGUUCCCGGGCCUUGUACACACCGCCCGUCACACCAUGAGAGUUUGUAACACCCAAAGUCGGUGGGGUAAUCUUUAGGAACCAGCCGCCUAAGGUGGACAGAUGAUAGGGAAGUCAACAGAGCGCGUAAAA